Molecule: ribosomal RNA, 503 nt
Filed under: Streptomyces sp. BPSEAC12
Lineage: Bacteria; Bacillati; Actinomycetota; Actinomycetes; Kitasatosporales; Streptomycetaceae
Description: bacterial SSU rRNA
Rfam family: Bacterial small subunit ribosomal RNA
Source: RNAcentral
AUGAAGCCCUUCGGGGUGGAUUAGUGGCGAACGGGUGAGUAACACGUGGGCAAUCUGCCCUGCACUCUGGGACAAGCCCUGGAAACGGGGUCUAAUACCGGAUACUACCUUCCCUGGCAUCUGGGUGGUUUGAAAGCUCCGGCGGUGCAGGAUGAGCCCGCGGCCUAUCAGCUUGUUGGUGAGGUAAUGGCUCACCAAGGCGACGACGGGUAGCCGGCCUGAGAGGGCGACCGGCCACACUGGGACUGAGACACGGCCCAGACUCCUACGGGAGGCAGCAGUGGGGAAUAUUGCACAAUGGGCGAAAGCCUGAUGCAGCGACGCCGCGUGAGGGAUGACGGCCUUCGGGUUGUAAACCUCUUUCAGCAGGGAAGAAGCGAAAGUGACGGUACCUGCAGAAGAAGCGCCGGCUAACUACGUGCCAGCAGCCGCGGUAAUACGUAGGGCGCAAGCGUUGUCCGGAAUUAUUGGGCGUAAAGAGCUCGUAGGCGGCUUGUCGCGUC